RNAcentral lists this transfer RNA (72 nucleotides) under Loxodonta africana (African savanna elephant). It matches the Rfam family "tRNA". From Rfam's summary of the family: Transfer RNA (tRNA) molecules are approximately 80 nucleotides in length. Lineage: Eukaryota; Metazoa; Chordata; Mammalia; Proboscidea; Elephantidae. The record is from Rfam by way of RNAcentral.
CCCUGGGUAGUAAAAAAGGUUAACGCUCUCAGCUGCUAACUGAAAAACUGAUGGUUUGAGUCCACCCAGGGA